RNAcentral lists this unclassified non-coding RNA (353 nucleotides) under soil metagenome. RNAcentral describes it as "partial contains 5.8S ribosomal RNA, internal transcribed spacer 2, and large subunit ribosomal RNA". The stretch from base 1 to 120 matches the Rfam family "5.8S ribosomal RNA", at positions 35 to 154 of the family's 154-position model. The record is from RNAcentral.
GAUGAAGAACGUAGCGAAAUGCGAUAAGUAAUGUGAAUUGCAGAAUUCAGUGAAUCAUCGAAUCUUUGAACGCACGUUGCGCCCGCGAGUAUUCUCGCGGGCAUGCCUGUCCGAGCGUCAUUUCAACCCUCAGGGCCCGCCUGCUUCGGCAGGCGCGGCGCUGGUGUUGGGGAUCGGCCUAACCGCCGUCCCCCAAAUACAGUGGCGGUCUCGCUGCAGCCUCCCCUGCGUAGUAGCAACACUCGCAUGCGGAGCGCGGCGCGGCCACGCCGUAAAACCCCCGACUUUCUGAACGUUGACCUCGGAUCAGGUAGGAAUACCCGCUGAACUUAAGCAUAUCAAUAAGCGGAGGA